AGGUACAAAAUGGGUAGAUGGGGAAGAUGGGGAAGAUGAAUCGUUGGUUCCCGUUUCUUUUUCUCCUUUCUCUUUUUCUCCUUUCUCUCUCCCCUC
This 96-nucleotide non-coding RNA is filed under the name Polytomella parva. The record is from RNAcentral. Lineage: Eukaryota; Viridiplantae; Chlorophyta; Chlorophyceae; Chlamydomonadales; Chlamydomonadaceae.